This 93-nucleotide microRNA precursor is filed under the name Nannospalax galili (Upper Galilee mountains blind mole rat). RNAcentral describes it as "miRNA (ENSNGAG00000002608.1)". Lineage: Eukaryota; Metazoa; Chordata; Mammalia; Rodentia; Spalacidae. The record is from RNAcentral.
AGAUUUAUUUUUAUUUAUGUUUAUGUGUGCAUGUGUAUCUGUGUAUGUGCAUGUGAAUGCAGUGCCCACAGAGGCCCAAAGAAGGCAGAAGAU